Colius striatus (speckled mousebird) is the source of this 584-nucleotide long non-coding RNA. RefSeq lists it as uncharacterized. Lineage: Eukaryota; Metazoa; Chordata; Aves; Coliiformes; Coliidae. The record is from RefSeq and is a predicted model, not a curated record. The transcript has 3 exons.
UCCCUUCUCAUUACCCACUUCUCAAAAACUAUGGGAUCCAAAGUGCUGUUAAGGCCUCUGGCUUGCUGGUGAAUUCAGCUGAAACUGGCCACUGUAUUUGAGUUCUUGAGGUGACACUGACAAAGGACAGAGAGAACACACAGAAGAGAAGAUCUAGGAAAAAAUCAACACAAUGGAAAUAAUAAGGAAACAGAGAGGAUGAAGAAAGGGAAGGAGGCAAUGAAGACAGCUUACAAGACCAAACCAAGUAUCUACUUCAGAAAGGCAGAAUCCUGUAGAGGAUAAAAAGUGCUCUAAAAGCAGUUCACGGGAAGGACAGCCUGGAUCCUAGACCAGACUACUUCACAACGAGAUGUAAGUUAUUUUUAUUUACAAGUAGCUACGUGCAGUCUUUCUGAAUUGUAAAAGCAGAUGAAAAUAUGCAAGUUGAGCCAGAGGAGAUAUUUGACUGAGAGUGGAACAAAGUAAUAAUGUAUGCAUGCAUUACUACAGUUAGGUAAUAAUUCUAACUUUUUGCCCACAAGCAAAGGGCUUUUUUUUUUUUCCCAAGAUGUGAUAGUAAGCUUUGUCUGCCUAUCCAAAAG